CUGAUAUCCAAUGGCAGAACAUUCACAUGUGCAAGAAGAAAUCAAACAAAGAUAAGAGCUUGUCGCAUAAGCCUAACUGCUUCCACAACUGUUGAGAAAGAGCCAUGAUGAGGCUACACUGGCACCUCAGCUUCGCCUCAGUGUGCUUGUAUGUGUGCGGUGAUAUAUUUCAGCCGGAUCACCGCAACGAAAAGUGGAACCAUUGUGAAGGACACUUUUACAAGGGAUGGACCCAUCUUCGACUGCUUCUUAAAAAAGCAUCUGUGGACUUCUGUUGUAAAUGCCAUGAAGAGAAAUGCAUUUCCAUUGCUAUUUUUCCAACUUUAAGACAUGUGCCUGUUUUUUGGGCAUAUAAAAUAAGCCAUAAAGGGGACCCUGUUUUGUCAGAGCACAAUCUGUUGAAGAAUAUUACAACUUGGUAUAUAUCACCAUCGGUUGUUGAGGAUCUGCUCAGAGAAAAGUUGCAUUCACUCCCAUCUCAAGUGACCUCAAGACCCUCCCUAUCAACAACACAUAUUUUAAGUGGAGUGUUUCCUCUCAAUGCGAAAUACAUUCACAAAGAGGGAAACUGGCACAACUCAGGCUACAUUCACUGGAUCACAUAUCACCACACAAAUGUGAAGGGGCUUAGUUUUGAAGGAGCACUUGUCCAAAACAGUCAGGAGAAAUGUAAGUGGAAAUGGCUGAUGGUGAAGCAACUGGUUGGGAUUCUUUCUGAAGUCUUUUCGGCCAAACCCAUGCAAACCUUCUUCAAUCAUCAAAACAUGGUACCUUUAAACCUGAACAGCUUAGAUGAAAUUCCAGACAGCUUUUCUGUAAAUGAAAAGAUAGAUGACUACCUGCCAUGUGUGAUGACAACAACAAUGCAAGUCAAAGAAGCAAAACAUGACUUUUCCAAAGUGACAACAAGCAGCAAACCUCCGCUUACUUCAGAUAUGAUUGCAGGCCUGUGCUCUGUGCUCAUUCACCGUACUAGCACCGGUUUAAAGAGAUGUCUUGAGAGGAUGAUAUUAGACAAAGAAAACUACACCACCUCUUCCCCGCUCUCGUAUUUCCCUGCUAGAAACGAGCCACUUAAUGCCAGAUCAGACCUCCAAAACAGAGCCCUCUUCAACUAAGUGAAAUCAUUAAUUACAGUAAAUAUACCACAAAAAAGCCACACAACAGUGUUGAACUCAGUGCAGAGGAAAACGAUAAUUUUUACUACUUUAAUGGCAAAAUAAAAGGUACAAUGAAUCACUUUGGAAAAACUAACAUGAAACAACACAGAACAUGACUAGAUAAAAUUAGAUCGCAUAUUAGAUGCAUAAAAAGGACAGUUUUACCAAAAGAAACAUGAUGAAUUCAGAUGAAUGUCUUAAAAUAUUCUUGCUGUGUUCAAUUCUGUAUAUAUUUACAGUAUAUUAUUUCUUUGCCGAAUCGCUUAUACAAAAGCCAUUUGGUAAAUGUAUAUUAUGAUAUUUUGCCUUCUUUACAAAUCAAAGUUUUAAAUCAGUGUUUAUUGGUAUAUUUAAACAUCCUUAAAACACAAUAAAUUUACUUAAGAAGCAAAGUUGUAUAAGACUGUUUUCUUGUUCUCUUUAAAUCAUUCUUUCCUC
Cyprinus carpio carpio is the source of this 1598-nucleotide long non-coding RNA. Lineage: Eukaryota; Metazoa; Chordata; Actinopteri; Cypriniformes; Cyprinidae. The record is from Ensembl.